RNAcentral lists this ribosomal RNA (230 nucleotides) under uncultured bacterium. Its description in RNAcentral is "partial 16S ribosomal RNA". It matches the Rfam family "Bacterial small subunit ribosomal RNA", at positions 562 to 791 of the family's 1533-position model. The record is from RNAcentral.
AAAGGGUGCGUAGGCGGCCUGUUAAGUCAGGGGUGAAAGACGGUAGCUCAACUAUCGCAGUGCCCUUGAUACUGAUGGGCUUGAAUGGACUAGAGGUAGGCGGAAUGAGACAAGUAGCGGUGAAAUGCAUAGAUAUGUCUCAGAACACCGAUUGCGAAGGCAGCUUACUAUGGUCUUAUUGACGCUGAGGCACGAAAGCGUGGGGAUCAAACAGGAUUAGAUACCCUAGU